Molecule: long non-coding RNA, 602 nt
Filed under: Volvox carteri
Lineage: Eukaryota; Viridiplantae; Chlorophyta; Chlorophyceae; Chlamydomonadales; Volvocaceae
Description: long non-coding RNA (VCAR_LNC002538)
Source: RNAcentral
CGCCGCCGCUGCCGCGAGGACCUCUUCUCGGAUCUUGUACGACAGAGUACGACGAUGAUUAUGGCGCCGAGGGAGAGUUGCACGGCGGCGGGAAGAGUGGGUGGACAGCCGCGGACAAGGGGCGCACACUUCGAAGAAACUUGGUCCCCCGUGACCACCAGACAGACAGACAGACAGACAGACAGACAGACAGACAGACAAAAAGCUGGGGUAAGGUCUCCGUCCCGACGACGGAACGACUAGCGUCGUCCGUCUAACGUCGGGACUUCGACGACAGAGAGAGACAGAUAGGCCAGACGACAGCAGGUAGUAAAUGGUUACGUCGGACGGUAUACAGCAGUGCCGUACACUCACUCCGAAGAGCCCUUGAAGCGAACAUUCAUGUUCCAAAUCGAAGCGGCCGAAAUCCACCAGCGCCUGUCGGCUGCAAAGGGCCGCUUGCUCGGGAUUGCUGGACAGGAAAACCCGCACGCCGUCCAACAGCUCGUAAAGACACGGCGCCGGUUGAGGUGGCUGUAAUAGUUGUUGCAGUUGUUGUUUCGGUUGAGGUGGUUGAGGUGUGUACGACUCGGCCGGUGGUGACGGUGAUUGCGAUACUGAUG